UCCGAAGGGUGCAAGCGUUGCUCGGAAUUAUUGGGCGUAAAGGGUUGGUAGGUGGUCUUGUUUGUCUAAGGUGAAAUCCCAUGGCUUAACUGUGGAAGUGCCUUAGAAACGGCAAGACUAGAGUCCUAGAGGGGUUUGUGGAAUUCCCGGUGUAGCGGUGAAAUGCGUAGAGAUCGGGAGGAACACCAGCGGCGAAGGCGGCAAACUGGAUAGGCACUGACACUCAACAACGAAAGCGUGGGGAGCAAACAGG
This 253-nucleotide ribosomal RNA is filed under the name uncultured bacterium. Its description in RNAcentral is "partial 16S ribosomal RNA". It matches the Rfam family "Bacterial small subunit ribosomal RNA", at positions 524 to 776 of the family's 1533-position model. The record is from RNAcentral.